This 516-nucleotide long non-coding RNA is filed under the name Ricinus communis (castor bean). RNAcentral describes it as "long non-coding RNA (RCOM_LNC001748)". Lineage: Eukaryota; Viridiplantae; Streptophyta; Magnoliopsida; Malpighiales; Euphorbiaceae. The record is from RNAcentral.
AUAAUAGUUCAAGUUCACAAAAAAGAUAUCAACGAAUCAAUUUAUUAAUAAAAUCUUAAAGUGUCAUUUGAAAUAUAGUUAAAUUGAUAAAGAAAACAAAUCAUCCGAAGAGAAGAAAUAGAAUAUUGAACCCUAAAUUGCAUCACAAUAUGACGGUAAGGACGAAAGCUAAACCCCAAAGAAAAACGAUAUUGCCGAACGAUUGCCAAAACUAGUCAGACUCUUUCCCUAUGAGAUUACUAAUCAAUAGAACAUGAAAUCAUCAAACUGAUACUUUCAAGAUGAAACACUAACUUUCCAUCAAUCGAUCCAAUUGAACCCUAACUUCCAUCACAAUAUACGAGAACUGAAAAUGCAGUUAAGAAGGCAAGAACAAAACCUAAACCCCAAAGAAAAAUGAUGUUGCCCAACGAUUGCCAAAAUCAAUUAGAUUGAAUCAAAAGGGGAGUUGUAUCUGUAGAUGGUAUACAUCAUAAAUAAUGAGAGAACGACUAAAAUUUAUUUUAAUCAAUGGAG